RNAcentral lists this non-coding RNA (132 nucleotides) under Paraburkholderia phenazinium. RNAcentral's name for it is "Burkholderia phenazinium Burkholderia sRNA 2". It matches the Rfam family "Burkholderia sRNA 2". Rfam says of the family: Upregulated in response to iron ion depletion. Predicted targets include MerR family transcriptional regulator. Lineage: Bacteria; Pseudomonadati; Pseudomonadota; Betaproteobacteria; Burkholderiales; Burkholderiaceae. The record is from Rfam by way of RNAcentral.
AUGAGUGCCUGUCCACCCCAUUCUUUCCGCGGCUGCGCCGUACAUCAUGCCUCUGUGGUUGAGGCAGAGAGGCGCAACGCGAUGACCGAAGUCGAGCCGCUUGCCCCGUUUGCCGGGGCGGCGGCUUUUUUA